Long non-coding RNA from Perca fluviatilis (European perch), 216 nucleotides. RefSeq lists it as uncharacterized. The record is from RefSeq and is a predicted model, not a curated record. The transcript has 3 exons. NCBI's taxonomy places the organism in Eukaryota, Metazoa, Chordata, Actinopteri, Perciformes, Percidae.
GCUAGUCUGCAUCAAUAGGGCCUUCUACGAAGAUUAGGAGUAAUGCUUCUUGGAACUCUGAUGAUGAUGAUUUUCAACAAGGGAGACCAGUAUUACAGAAUAUAAGUCAACUCUUAAAUCAGACCACUGGUGUAAUAAGAAAAAGAAGUCGAGCUGAACGCUCUAAGAAAGCUGAAAGAGGGUCGUCUCUACCUCUACAAAAGCGACAAUGUGGUG